GGCCGGUUAGCUCAGUCGGUUAGAGCGUGCUGCUCACAACACCGAGGUUGCUGGUUUGAUCCCAGCAUGGGCCA
Molecule: non-coding RNA, 74 nt
Organism: Rhinolophus ferrumequinum (greater horseshoe bat)
Lineage: Eukaryota; Metazoa; Chordata; Mammalia; Chiroptera; Rhinolophidae
Source: the annotation of a RefSeq genome assembly